GAUGAACGCUGGCGGCGUGCCUAAUACAUGCAAGUCGAGCGAACAGACGAGGAGCUUGCUCCUCUGACGUUAGCGGCGGACGGGUGAGUAACACGUGGAUAACCUACCUAUAAGACUGGGAUAACUUCGGGAAACCGGAGCUAAUACCGGAUAAUAUAUUGAACCGCAUGGUUCAAUAGUGAAAGACGGUUUUGCUGUCACUUAUAGAUGGAUCCGCGCCGCAUUAGCUAGUUGGUAAGGUAACGGCUUACCAAGGCAACGAUGCGUAGCCGACCUGAGAGGGGGAUCGGCCACACUGGAACGGAGACACGGUCCAGACUCCUACGGGAGGCAGCAGUAGGGAAUCUUCCGCAAUGGGCGAAAGCCUGACGGAGCAACGCCGCGUGAGUGGUGAAGGUCUUCGGAUCGUAAAACUCUGUUAUUAGGGAAGAACAAAUGUGUAAGUAACUAUGCACGUCUUGACGGUACCUAAUCAGAAAGCCACGGCUAACUACGUG
Molecule: ribosomal RNA, 497 nt
Filed under: uncultured bacterium
Lineage: Bacteria
Description: partial 16S ribosomal RNA
Rfam family: Bacterial small subunit ribosomal RNA
Source: RNAcentral